RNAcentral lists this ribosomal RNA (253 nucleotides) under uncultured bacterium. Its description in RNAcentral is "partial 16S ribosomal RNA". It matches the Rfam family "Bacterial small subunit ribosomal RNA", at positions 524 to 776 of the family's 1533-position model. The record is from RNAcentral.
UACGGGGGGGGCAAGCGUUGUUCGGAAUUACUGGGCGUAAAGGGCUCGUAGGCGGCCAACUAAGUCAGACGUGAAAUCCCUCGGCUUAACCGGGGAACUGCGUCUGAUACUGGAUGGCUUGAGGUUGGGAGAGGGAUGCGGAAUUCCAGGUGUAGCGGUGAAAUGCGUAGAUAUCAGGAGGAACACCUGUGGCGAAAGCGGCUCACUGGACCAUAACUGACGCUGAGGAGCGAAAGCGUGGGGAGCGAACAGG